UCCUCUCCACGAUGUCAUGGCUUUGAUGU
This 29-nucleotide non-coding RNA is filed under the name Rattus norvegicus (Norway rat). The record is from RNAcentral. Lineage: Eukaryota; Metazoa; Chordata; Mammalia; Rodentia; Muridae.